RNAcentral lists this ribosomal RNA (406 nucleotides) under uncultured bacterium. RNAcentral describes it as "partial 16S ribosomal RNA". It matches the Rfam family "Bacterial small subunit ribosomal RNA", at positions 30 to 526 of the family's 1533-position model. The record is from RNAcentral.
AUUGAACGCUGGCGGCAGGCCUAACACAUGCAAGUCGAACGAGUGGCGGACGGGUGUGUAAUGUCUGGGAAACUGCCUGAUGGAGGGGGAUAACUACUGGAAACGGUAGCUAAUCCCGCAUACCAUCAGAUGUGCCCAGAUGGGAUUAGCUAGUAGGUGGGGUAACGGCUCACCUAGGCGACGAUCCCUAGCUGGUCUGAGAGGAUGACCAGCCAAACGGGAACUGAGAAUAGGUCCAGACUCCUACGAGAGGCAGUCGGGGGGAAGAAUGCACAAUGGGCGCUAGCCUGCUGCAGCGAUGCCGCGUGGAUGAAGAAGGCCUUCGGGUUGUAAAGUACUUUCAGCGGGGAGGCGUUACCCGCAGAAGAAGCACCGGCUAACUCCGUGCCAGCAGCCGCGGUAAUAC